This 750-nucleotide long non-coding RNA is filed under the name Ananas comosus (pineapple). Its description in RNAcentral is "long non-coding RNA (ACOM_LNC016539)". The record is from RNAcentral. Lineage: Eukaryota; Viridiplantae; Streptophyta; Magnoliopsida; Poales; Bromeliaceae.
AUGGGACAAGACAGGAAUGAGCAUAUUGGGGGUGUUUGGCUUAACUUUUGAAAAGUGAUUCUAGACUCAAAAUUGAUUUUCGGCUCAAUAGAGUAUUUUACAAUUUCGUUUUCAAAAUUUGAUUCUGAUUUUUAGAAUAAGUUUUCAGAUUUUUAAGGCCCAUAAUUAGAAGCAGCUAAAACUUACUUUUUGAAAUCUGAUUCUGAUUUUGAACUCAAACUUCAAAUUUUUAUUUUAACUUUCGAUUCAAAGUUUAAAUUUAAAUUUAAUUUUUAAUUUUUAUUUUUGAAUUUUUAAAUUUCAAAAUGCAAAAUUUAAUUUUAAAAGUUAUUUUUAAAAUUUUAAAUAUUUAAUUUUGAAAUUUGAAAUUUUUAAAUUUUAAAUUUUAAAUUUAGAUUUUAAAUUUGAAAUUGAAAAUUUAUAUUUAGCUUUAAAAAUUAAAAGCGUAAUUUUUUAAUUUUCAAUUUUAAAAUUUAUUUUUAAACAAAAAUCUCAAAUUUUAAAUUUUGUACAAAUUUUAAAUUUUAAUUUAUAUUUUUAAAUUAUUUUAAAAUAAAAUUUAGUAAAAAUAUUAUUAUAUGCAAAUAUAAAAUUUGUUCGCCAAACAAGUUUACAAAAUUACUUCAAAAAAAUCGCUUUUAUCUAAAUUCAGCCAAAAGCUCUAUAGCUUUUAACCAAAAUUACUCUCCAAACUAAAAUCAAUUCUGUAGAAACCACUUUUCCACAACACUAGGAUUUGGCACUUGUUUU